GCGGAUAUGGUUUAGUGGUAAAACACGGGCUUCCCAAGCCUGGGUUGCGGGUCCGAUUCCCGCUAUCCGCUCCA
This 74-nucleotide transfer RNA is filed under the name Christensenellaceae bacterium. Its description in RNAcentral is "tRNA-Gly". It matches the Rfam family "tRNA". Rfam says of the family: Transfer RNA (tRNA) molecules are approximately 80 nucleotides in length. Their secondary structure includes four short double-helical elements and three loops (D, anti-codon, and T loops). Further hydrogen bonds mediate the characteristic L-shaped molecular structure. tRNAs have two regions of fundamental functional importance: the anti-codon, which is responsible for specific mRNA codon recognition, and the 3' end, to which the tRNAs corresponding amino acid is attached (by aminoacyl-tRNA synthetases). tRNAs cope with the degeneracy of the genetic code in two manners: having more than one tRNA (with a specific anti-codon) for a particular amino acid; and 'wobble' base-pairing, i.e. permitting non-standard base-pairing at the 3rd anti-codon position. The record is from RNAcentral. Lineage: Bacteria; Bacillati; Bacillota; Clostridia; Christensenellales; Christensenellaceae.